Molecule: microRNA precursor, 78 nt
Filed under: Schistosoma margrebowiei
Lineage: Eukaryota; Metazoa; Platyhelminthes; Trematoda; Strigeidida; Schistosomatidae
Description: mir-3492 microRNA precursor family
Rfam family: mir-3492 microRNA precursor family
Source: Rfam by way of RNAcentral
AGCAUUCUGUGUUCAUGCUGAGAUUUUAUUACACACCAGACCACGAGGGCCAAUGAGACUCCCAAGAUAAGUGGAGCA